GCUGGGGGAGCCGGAAGGCUGAGAGUGGGCGAGUCCCUGACCCUUGGAACCUGAUGCGGAUCAUGCCGCCGAAGGGAAGCG
This 81-nucleotide non-coding RNA is filed under the name uncultured Mailhella sp. RNAcentral's name for it is "TPP riboswitch (THI element)". It matches the Rfam family "TPP riboswitch aptamer (THI element)", at positions 8 to 91 of the family's 105-position model. Rfam says of the family: Vitamin B(1) in its active form thiamin pyrophosphate (TPP) is an essential coenzyme that is synthesised by coupling of pyrimidine and thiazole moieties in bacteria. The previously detected thiamin-regulatory element, thi box was extended, resulting in a new, highly conserved RNA secondary structure, the THI element, which is widely distributed in eubacteria and also occurs in some archaea. Analysis of operon structures identified a large number of new candidate thiamin-regulated genes, mostly transporters, in various prokaryotic organisms. The record is from RNAcentral. Lineage: Bacteria; Pseudomonadati; Thermodesulfobacteriota; Desulfovibrionia; Desulfovibrionales; Desulfovibrionaceae.